ACGCUAGCUACAGGCUUAACACAUGCAAGUCGAGGGGCAGCAUGGUCUUAGCUUGCUAAGGCCGAUGGCGACCGGCGCACUGGUGAGUAACGCGUAUCCAACCUGCCUUACACUCUUGGACAGCCUUCUGAAAGGGAGAUUAAUACAAGAUGUUAUCAUGAGUAAGCAUUUUCGCAUGAUUAAAGGUUUACCGGUGUAAGAUGGGGAUGCGUUCCAUUAGAUAGUAGGCGGGGUAACGGCCCACCUAGUCUUCGAUGGAUAGGGGUUCUGAGAGGAAGGUCCCCCACAUUGGAACUGAGACACGGUCCAAACUCCUACGGGAGGCAGCAGUGAGGAAUAUUGGUCAAUGGACGAGAGUCUGAACCAGCCAAGUAGCGUGAAGGAUGAAGGUUCUAUGGAUUGUAAACUUCUUUUAUACGGGAAUAAACAAAUCCACGCGUGGAUUUUUGCAUGUACCGUAUGAAUAAGGAUCGGCUAACUCCGUGCCAGCAGCCGCGGUAAUACGGAGGAUCCGAGCGUUAUCCGGAUUUAUUGGGUUUAAAGGGAGCGUAGAUGGGUUGUUAAGUCAGUUGUGAAAGUUUGCGGCUCAACCGUAAAAUUGCAAUUGAUACUGGCAGUCUUGAGUACAGUUGAGGUAGGCGGAAUUCGUGGUGUAGCGGUGAAAUGCUUAGAUAUCACGAAGAACUCCGAUUGCGAAGGCAGCUUACUAACCUGUAACUGACAUUGAUGCUCGAAAGUGUGGGUAUCAAACAGGAUUAGAUACCCUGGUAGUCCACACGGUAAACGAUGAAUACUCGCUGUAGGCGAUAUACAGUCUGCGGCCAAGCGAAAGCAUUAAGUAUUCCACCUGGGGAGUACGCCGGCAACGGUGAAACUCAAAGGAAUUGACGGGGGCCCGCACAAGCGGAGGAACAUGUGGUUUAAUUCGAUGAUACGCGAGGAACCUUACCCGGGCUUAAAUUGCAACCGAAUAUGGCGGAAACGCUAUAGCUAGCAAUAGCGGUUGUGAAGGUGCUGCAUGGUUGUCGUCAGCUCGUGCCGUGAGGUGUCGGCUUAAGUGCCAUAACGAGCGCAACCCUUGCCGAUAGUUACUAACAGGUCAUGCUGAGGACUCUGUCGGGACUGCCAUCGUAAGAUGUGAGGAAGGUGGGGAUGACGUCAAAUCAGCACGGCCCUUACGUCCGGGGCUACACACGUGUUACAAUGGGGGGUACAGAGGGCUGCUACCACGCAAGUGGAUGCCAAUCCCAAAAACCUCUCUCAGUUCGGAUUGAAGUCUGCAACCCGACUUCAUGAAGCUGGAUUCGCUAGUAAUCGCGCAUCAGCCACGGCGCGGUGAAUACGUUCCCGGGCCUUGUACACACCGCCCGUCAAGCCAUGGGAGCCGGGGGUACCUGAAGUGCGUAACCGCAAGGAGCGCCCUAGGGUAAAACUGGUGACUGGGGCUAA
This 1449-nucleotide ribosomal RNA is filed under the name uncultured organism. RNAcentral's name for it is "SSU rRNA". It matches the Rfam family "Bacterial small subunit ribosomal RNA". The record is from RNAcentral.